GCCGGGGUGGCGGAAUUGGAAGACGCACCCGCAAACUAGGCGGGCGGACCACGGUCCACUGGGGGUUCGAAUCCCUCACCCGGCG
Molecule: transfer RNA, 85 nt
Filed under: Amycolatopsis sulphurea
Lineage: Bacteria; Bacillati; Actinomycetota; Actinomycetes; Pseudonocardiales; Pseudonocardiaceae
Description: tRNA-Ser
Rfam family: tRNA
About the family: Transfer RNA (tRNA) molecules are approximately 80 nucleotides in length. Their secondary structure includes four short double-helical elements and three loops (D, anti-codon, and T loops). Further hydrogen bonds mediate the characteristic L-shaped molecular structure. tRNAs have two regions of fundamental functional importance: the anti-codon, which is responsible for specific mRNA codon recognition, and the 3' end, to which the tRNAs corresponding amino acid is attached (by aminoacyl-tRNA synthetases). tRNAs cope with the degeneracy of the genetic code in two manners: having more than one tRNA (with a specific anti-codon) for a particular amino acid; and 'wobble' base-pairing, i.e. permitting non-standard base-pairing at the 3rd anti-codon position.
Source: RNAcentral